UCCCUGUAGCACAAUGGGUAGCGCAUUGGACUUCUAAUCCAAAGGGCGUGCCCUCGAAUCCCAACCGGGAGAG
Molecule: non-coding RNA, 73 nt
Organism: Trichonephila clavipes
Lineage: Eukaryota; Metazoa; Arthropoda; Arachnida; Araneae; Nephilidae
Source: the annotation of a GenBank genome assembly